Molecule: small nucleolar RNA, 141 nt
Organism: Psammomys obesus (fat sand rat)
Lineage: Eukaryota; Metazoa; Chordata; Mammalia; Rodentia; Muridae
Product: small nucleolar RNA SNORA48
Exons: 1
Source: RefSeq, a predicted model, not a curated record
CCCCCCAGCAAUGGACAGAGACACCUUAUUGGUGGUGGUGUUCUAAUAUCAGUCAGGGGCAGAACAGAUGGCGGUCCUUUGGUCAUCCUAGCUUAAAUCUUGGCUAGGUGACUGAAGUUGUUUUAUGCCUAGGACGCAUAC